Molecule: ribosomal RNA, 254 nt
Filed under: uncultured bacterium
Lineage: Bacteria
Description: partial 16S ribosomal RNA
Rfam family: Bacterial small subunit ribosomal RNA
Source: RNAcentral
UACAGAGGUCCCGAGCGUUGUUCGGAUUCAUUGGGCGUAAAGGGUGCGUAGGCGGCUUCCUAAGUUUGAUGUGAAAUCCUGGGGCUCAACCCUGGAACUGCAUUGAAUACUGGGAGGCUAGAGUACUGGAGAGGAAACUGGAAUUUACGGUGUAGCAGUGAAAUGCGUAGAGAUCGUAAGGAAGACCAGUGGCGAAGGCGAGUUUCUGGACAGUUACUGACGCUGAGGCACGAAGGCCAGGGGAGCAAAACGGG